This 252-nucleotide ribosomal RNA is filed under the name uncultured bacterium. RNAcentral's name for it is "partial 16S ribosomal RNA". It matches the Rfam family "Bacterial small subunit ribosomal RNA", at positions 524 to 776 of the family's 1533-position model. The record is from RNAcentral.
UACGUAGGUGGCAAGCGUUGUCCGGAUUUAUUGGGUUUAAAGGGUGUGUAGGCGGUCCUAUAAGUCAAUGCUGAAAUAUCCCGGCUUAACCGGGAGGGUGGCAUUGAUACUGCAGGACUUGAGUAAAGUUGAGGUUGGCGGAAUUGACGGUGUAGCGGUGAAAUGCUUAGAUAUCGUCAAGAACACCUAUUGCGAAGCAGCUAACUAAGCUUUAACUGACGCUGAGGCACGAAAGUGUGGGGAUCAAACAGG